This 253-nucleotide ribosomal RNA is filed under the name uncultured bacterium. RNAcentral describes it as "partial 16S ribosomal RNA". It matches the Rfam family "Bacterial small subunit ribosomal RNA", at positions 524 to 776 of the family's 1533-position model. The record is from RNAcentral.
UACAGAGACUGCAAGCGUUAUUCGGAUUCACUGGGCGUAAAGGGUGCGCAGGCGGCCGUGUGUGUGAGGCGUGAAAGCCCGGGGCUUAACCCCGGAAUUGCACCUCAAACUACAUGGCUAGAGCAUUGGAGAGGGUAGCAGAAUUCAUGGUGUAGCAGUGAAAUGCGUAGAUAUCAUGAGGAAUACCAGAGGCGAAGGCGGCUACCUGGACAAUUGCUGACGCUCAGGCACGAAAGCGUGGGGGGCAAACAGG